Molecule: long non-coding RNA, 358 nt
Organism: Spinacia oleracea (spinach)
Lineage: Eukaryota; Viridiplantae; Streptophyta; Magnoliopsida; Caryophyllales; Amaranthaceae
Exons: 2
Source: RefSeq, a predicted model, not a curated record
GUGUAUAAUGUAAGCAUGCCGACAAGCUGGCCAGCGGAUUCAUUGGAUGUUGUAUGAGGCAACUUUUCAAGAUCGUGGGACAACCUUGAUGUAUUUUCCAAGUUAUAACAAAGAGCAGAUUGACGAAGUAAGAACUCAAUGGGUGCACCAUGUUGUCUAACAACUGUAUAUUAGCUCGGUUACGUUGAAUGAACCAAUAAUUGUACAGUUGUAUUAAUUAAUGUAUGUUGCGUAGUUUAAUGUUUGUGUUCUUAUUUUAGAACAUCUCUAUGUAAUCGGUUUUAUUAGGUUGACGUACAAUUGAAAAUUCUUUAUAAUGAGGUGUGGAAAUUAAUAUACGAUUAUUUUUACUCUUCAA